AGAUUAGGAAUGCGAAGUGUGUGUGUGUGUGUGUGUGUGUGUGUGAGCACGUGCACACACACACCUGAGCAUUCCCAGGAAUGCAGCAGCAGUGCCACAGGCUGGGGACUGCCCAUGGCACCCCCCAACCAGGCCCAGAUACCCAGGGCUAAGAACCCAGCAGCCCGGGCGCAGGGAAGCUGCUCCGCGUACCUGGCGUGUGUGGUGAAGAUGCCCCGUGGCAGUGGGGUGGGGCAGCCCCUCGUCCCCAGCUGAGCCCCCGUGGUCACGAAAGCACCAUUAGAUUUCACCUUGAGCGCAUGUGUGCACACGCAAAUGCAAACACUCUCACACACACACACACACGCACACGCACACACACACGCCCUGCCUUCAGGACACCUGGGGACGAGCUGCCUAACCUCAGGCCCUGCCUCCCUGCCUCUGCCCACGCUGGGCCCUGGAACACCUGCCCGGGCUUCUCUACCAGCUGAGCUCUGUCCCCAGCCCAACCAGGCCGAUUUUUAUUCAUCCUCCAAGAACCUAUUACGGGAUGGCGCUCUGUGAAAACAGGUCCACACCCCACAUGGGACAUUACUGCUCCCUCCCCUGCUGCUCACGGAGCCCCAGUGUGACUGUGUUCACCUCUCAUCCUCACCAAAGCAGAGGAGCCCUUUAGUUUGAUCAAUGAACAUAGAGGAUAUCUGUGGCACGCAGGAGGGCAGAACAGGGCACAGGGACAAUGACCACAGAAUUGAGCCACGUACCUCACUGAGCACAUUCAAGUUCAUGUCAUCAUUACUGUGACUGCAACAGAAAACCCAAGGCCCAGAGAAGUUAAGGCAUUUGUCCAAGGUCACACAGCCAAGAAGUGGCCAGGUUGGUAUAGUACCCUGGCCUGCAGAUCUGCAAAGUGCUUGUUCUUUGCCGUGGCUAGGCAGCUGGCCAUGGAGGACAGCAGACGCCACCCAGCGUGGGGCUCACCUGGGGGAGAGCUGGGAGGCUUGUUUUGCUGAACCACUGAGAACAGGGUACAGAGGGAAGCCUGAGCCCGUCUCCACCAGGCACAGCAUGAGGAAGUGGCCCAUGGCAGCACAUGGUACUGCUGGCCCUGCCUGCUUGGAGGGUCAACUGGGACGUCUGUGUCCUGGGAACGAGCUCAUCACUAGAAGACUAAUCGUGUGAGUGUUUCAGCUUCUAUUCCCAAGAGCGUCAACAGCCCUCGUUGAACAGAAAAACUCUUCUUAUUUGGGAUGAGACGGAUCCAACCAACUCUCCAAUGAUAAAAACCUGCGGGGGGAUUUAAGGAGCCACAGCACGGCCGUCCACCCACGGAGGAUUGGAAACAGGUAGGGAAGCGGCACUGUCCCCAGCCAACAGGCACAGCGUGUCCUCACGAUUCCAAGAUGGUCCAGCCAUGAGAGGGCAUGGCGUUCUGCACCUGCCACCGUGUGGACGGUCCCUGAAAACAUGUUGGGUGAGAGGCCAG
Molecule: long non-coding RNA, 1468 nt
Filed under: Marmota monax (woodchuck)
Lineage: Eukaryota; Metazoa; Chordata; Mammalia; Rodentia; Sciuridae
Source: RNAcentral